Molecule: long non-coding RNA, 3200 nt
Organism: Astatotilapia calliptera (eastern happy)
Lineage: Eukaryota; Metazoa; Chordata; Actinopteri; Cichliformes; Cichlidae
Source: Ensembl
CGACUGGAAAAAUUUGCAAGCCCUGUGUUACAGGCAUGGCCCUUUAAGGAUGAAGCCUGAUGGGAAAUGUAUUCGGGAUGUGUGUAGCGGGACUGCCUGGUGUGUGUGUGAAGAGAGAGAGCGGAGAUGGGGAAAAAGUAACGGUUAGCUACAGAAGAGACGACAAGAAAAUAAAUAAAAGGAAUAUAAUAACUCCCUCGACAGCCAGAGUUGUGUCGGCGAUGCUCGCUAUCACCUCACAUUUGACUCCAGAACAGUCUGGCUCACAGAGGAAUUGAUGGCUGACUCAGUGCCUGCAAGAUGCUCAGGUUCCUGUGGCUGCAAAACAAGCUCAAAUCAUCACCCCUCCACUAAAUACGCUUGACAGCUGGUCUUAUUACUCAAAUCCAGCGUCACUGCAAGUCUUUGCUUCCACAGUGAACUGUGGGGCCACAUGUGGGGAGCAACCCAGCGAGGAAUUAGAGGAUUACAGGAGAGACUGAGGACGCUGCUCUGCUCUGAGGAGCUUCACUGUAACAGUCCAUGCUCUACUCCUCUCUUCAUUCCAUCUGCCUGCCUCCCUGCCAUGGCUACUGGGAUUCAUGCAAUCACGACAUCUGACAGGAAACUCACCCGGACCUCUCUGACUGCUUUCCCCACCACGUUGUUCUCCACCUGCGAACGAUGACUCUGAGCACCUUCUCCAAACCACGACCCAUUUCACCUUUAGCCCCCGUUCGUGGACUCUUUAAUCUGUAUAGUUUCAUCGCUCUACGUCUGGCUCACAGUUCAUGUUUGAAUUAUAGUGCCUCCGUCCGUGUCCGCGUUUGGGUUCAUUCUCCUGGCCCUGACAAGCAGAUGCUGAAGCACAUAGUGUGCAGAGGUUACCAACUUUCUACAGAGUUAAUCGCUGCAGCCCUCCAAACUUCAUGUGGUCUUCAGCUCAAGAACAGUGCAUAGAGAGCUUCAUUAAAUGGGUUUCCAAGGGGUAGUAGCUGUUGUAGGUUUUAGCAAUAUUGGCUUAUCUCAACUGGCACCCUGUUACAGCCAUAAUCUAAUAAUCAGGCCCCAUCUUAUCUUAAAAACCUUCUAAUAACAUAUCACCCCAAUAGAGUACUUUAUUCUAUUCAGACUUACAAAGUCAAGAAUUGUAAGAUGAGGUUGACUGACAUAUUGUUUGUAUAUCAAACAAUGCCUAGCUUUAAAGCAGCUGGCUUGACUUGGGUGUGGAUACAAAAAUAAAAGUAACAGUAAGUUAAAAAAAAAUAAAUAAAAAAAAUAAAAAAAUAAAAAAUUAGAUCAAGGUUCACAAACACAGCACAAAACAGCUGAACAAAAGACCACGGAAGUUGAAUAAAACAUAAGACAACGCAAUAGCGGUGGAAAAAAAAAUUGUCACAAAACACAAAUGAAAUAUGCUUAAAAGAAGCAGAGGUUUCAUUAGUGUUGUGAGGGAGAAAAAUAUGCAGUAAUGUGUGUUCUUAUUGCAUGAUUCAUAUAAUACUGUAGAUACAGCUAAUAGCUGCGGUUACUUCCGCAGCUGUUCCUACAUUACUGUCUGCCCAAAAACACUUUCAUUUUAUUUUGUUCAACCUUUGUGUUGUGUUGUAUUAUGAUUUGUGUACUUUUGCAGCAUUUUUCUAUCUGCUGGAAGCUUAAGUUGCAGUGCAGUUGACUGCAAAGAGCCACCACAGUAUGUCCUGGUUAAAUAAAUAAACGUGAAGGAAAAAAAAAAAAAAAAAUCAUGACAGCCAGAUAAUUGAGCGUGCGCACAUAUAUAUAUUUUAUCCUUACUGUAAACAUGCAAAUGUUUAGUAACAAGAUUUGCUGGUCUUUGAGGGAUCUGUGGAAUAAGUUUUUCAAAAAAACAAAUACAAAAAAAAAAACAGACGCAACAUUACAAUAAGCUACCAGAAAAAACAGUAAUACUGAAAUCUGUGGAGAACACGCGCGCGCACUUGCACAAACACCGAUUACACAAGGACGACAAGGACAAGCAAUAAAAACCAGCUCCUAAAAGCCUAGGAAAAGCCCAUACACACAUACAGUACAGGGAUAUGCAUGCACCUGGCAAUAGCAACAUUUAUCCUUCCAUUUUUAUACCUGUUUAUCCAUUCAGGGUCACAGAAGUAGCAUCAUAAAGUCUGAUCGCACCCAUUAAGUCUCCAUUAAAAAUAUGCCCAAUAAAUCAUGUUGCUGAUUUUCUUUCCUUUUUGCUUUUAUUUGACUGCAUCAAAAUUGAUUUGAUUAAUAUUUUAUUAUGAUCUAAUAAAAUUAGUCGAUUUUCCUUCAGUUAACCUGAACUGUUUAUCACCAGUGCCCCCACUGAUGUCCUGAUGCCAGUUUAUAUCAGACUGACAGCAAAGAAGAGUCUUUUCACAGCACAGCUUGUCACAGGUGAGGUGAUGAGUGCCUUAGGUGACCAUUCAUCUUGGAAACUCUCUCAUUGGGGCAGGUGUCAAGUGGUUCAACAAGUGAUGGAAAGCUUCUCUUUGCAACCUCUCUUUUAAACUGCUGUACAAACAAUGUCCUCCACGGUGGUGCUUGCUGACUGUAUUAGGUCUGAAUUAGCAGCUAGAGGGAAAAUAGUUCAAGGGCUGGCAUUUUUAAAACUGUUGGCUAAACUUGAACUUUCUUUAUCCUAGUGUGCCUGGUGUUUUGUUUUUUUUUUCUUUUUUCUUCUCACAUUACAUAACCAGUUGCAUGUGAGGUAGGUGGUUUCUCAUACUAUUCUUACUUAAAAUCAAAAUUCCAGGGUCACAGACAUAUAAUUUAAAACGUUUGGUCAUUAAAAACAAUGCAAACAGUAGUGGUAAAAAUAAGCAGCAAGUGUCAAAUAUUUUUGUGUCUUUCACAAUGUAGUGCAGCCCAAGAAUUCAUUGAUGGGGUGCAAGUGAAAACACAAGGACAUUAAACUAUCUUUAGCCUGCCAGCUCCUGAGUACAGGACUUUACAAGUCUCUGUAAAGUGCAUCUGUGCCCACACAGAUAAUGGUUUGAGCAAUUCAAUGCACCUUAAUGUCACGUUUGCUGCCUCGGCAACCUCAUCCCAGACAGCUACCCUGCUUAAAAACAAAUAGUACUACCAAUAGUGACAGCUGGUUUUAAAAAAUAUUAACCACUGUUGUGUGGUACAUGUAAAAACGAGCAACAAACCAACAAUAUCUAGACCUGAUUACAGGUUUUACAAGUCAUACAGUCCAAAACAAAUUUAAAAAUUGC